UGUACACACCGCCCGUCACACCAUGGAAGUUAGCCACGCCCGAAGUCGUUACUCCAACCCUUGUGGAGGAGGACGCCGAAGGUGGGGCUGAUGACUGGGGUGAAGUCGUAACAAGGUAGCCGUACCGGAAGGUGCGGCUGGAUCACCUCCUAACAGGGAGACAAAUCAGAUAUUGAUGUCUGGGUCAAUUUUGAGCCUAGGCCGAUAUCCUGUCAUCUCGAAGGUCGAUCGGUACCUCAAGGAACAAUGAAUCUGAGAUGUCAUGUUUCAGAUGUAUUGGUCUUUCAGUUUCUCAACUUCUGUCUAGGUCACCCCAUUUUUCUUGUCUCCUGGGCCAUUAGCUCAGGUGGUUAGAGCGCACCCCUGAUAAGGGUGAGGUCCCUGGUUCAAGUCCAGGAUGGCCCAUUCGUGUUUGGGGGUUUAGCUCAGUUGGUAGAGCGCCUGCUUUGCAAGCAGGAUGUCAGCGGUUCGAGUCCGCUAACCUCCAUCAACACCAUGGCUCAGAUGACCUCUGAACCACAGGAGCGGAUUCUGUGGGGCGAUCUGGACGCAUGUACUGGUGAAGAACGAAGAGUUCAGCAUCCUUUCAUUCCCCAUCCAUCAAUGGAUUGAUCCAUAGGGGUUGAAAAGACGCUGGAUUCAACAGUUGUUUUGACGAUUGGUCAAGGCAACUGAUGAUUCAGCAGAACCUUGACAACUGCAUAGGUGAGUCUGGAAAGAAAGCAUCUCAUGGAUGCCCAGGAGCUAUGGCGACUGGGAACAAUUCUUGAGUUAAAAGAGCCGAGAAUCCAAGACUAAAGUAUGUGAGCCGAAUCAAGUGGUAAUGGGAUGAACAGUUCCAUGGCCAUCUGGAUUGGGUAAGCGGUUUGGUUUUGGACAAAAUGGUCAAGCUACAAAGGGCUCACGGUGGAUACCUAGGCACACAGAGA
RNAcentral lists this unclassified non-coding RNA (929 nucleotides) under uncultured cyanobacterium. RNAcentral describes it as "partial contains 16S ribosomal RNA, 16S-23S ribosomal RNA intergenic spacer, and 23S ribosomal RNA". The stretch from base 1 to 153 matches the Rfam family "Bacterial small subunit ribosomal RNA", at positions 1382 to 1533 of the family's 1533-position model. The record is from RNAcentral. Lineage: Bacteria; Bacillati; Cyanobacteriota.